RNAcentral lists this unclassified non-coding RNA (402 nucleotides) under soil metagenome. RNAcentral describes it as "partial contains 5.8S ribosomal RNA, internal transcribed spacer 2, and large subunit ribosomal RNA". The stretch from base 1 to 121 matches the Rfam family "5.8S ribosomal RNA", at positions 35 to 154 of the family's 154-position model. The record is from RNAcentral.
GAUGAAGAACGCAGCGAAAUGCGAUAAGUAAUGUGAAUUGCAGAAUUCAGUGAAUCAUCGAAUCUUUGAACGCACCUUGCGCCCUUUGGCUAUUCUGAAGGGCAUGCCUGUUUGAGUAUCGUGAACACCUCAACUCUCAUGGUCUGCCAUGAUGAGCUUGGACUUUGGGGGUCUUGCUGGCCUACUGUCAGCUCCUCUCAAAUGAAUCAGCUUACCAGUGUUUGGUGGCACCACCGGUGUGAUAACUAUCUACGCUUGUGGUUUUCUGCCAGGUAACCUCCAGUGAUGGAGGUUCGCUGGAGCUCACAAAUGUCUCUCCUCAGCGAGGACAGCUUUUUGAACGUUUGAUCUCAAAUCAGGUAGGACUACCCGCUGAACUUAAGCAUAUCAAUAAGCGGAGGA